This is a non-coding RNA of Podarcis lilfordi (Lilford's wall lizard), 3407 nucleotides long. The record is from the annotation of a GenBank genome assembly. NCBI's taxonomy places the organism in Eukaryota, Metazoa, Chordata, Lepidosauria, Squamata, Lacertidae.
AACUGUUACGGUACAGGCAGUUUACUAAGACACUGUGCUCCGGAAGUCAGGAUGGGACAGGCUGUUACAGAGUAAAUGAAUACAAUGCAAAGCAGGCAGAGAAGAGAUUGUGUAAUGUGUGCAAGAGGGGAGAGUCAGGCAGUGAUCCUUGAUGGGUGAAUAAGGGAUGUUCCAGCUACGCCAGUGCUGUGUCCAAGAAUCAAGGCAGAAGUAAAUAACAAGGGCUUUGUUCUAAGAUUAAAAAGUAACUGUCAUUUGAAAACUCAACAAGUGUGCCCCAGCUUAGCGAGUCCCCAUUGUUACUUCCCAUCUCUUGUAAUAGGCUGAAUCCGUUCAGUUGGCUAUUCCUUCCAGCUGCCUUAAAAGGAGACUUAGGGGGAAACUGCAUGUUAAAUCACCAUAUUUCUCCCUCUCCGUACUCCCACAACCCAGCACUACAAAAGAUAAUCCUUGGUCCAUGCAGGUAGUUAUUUAGCUUGGUCAGGCCAUCUCUCUGGUUCACUCUCUGUCCGAAUGGUUGAUGGAGUUGCUUAUGUUUAGCCUGGAGAAGAGAAGAUGGAGAGGUGAUAUGAUAGCCAUCUUCAAAUAUCUGAAGGGCUCUCACAUGGAAGAUGGAGCGGGCCUCUUUUCUGCUGCUCCAGAGGGUAGGACUACAACUAAUGGAUUCAAAUUGCAAUGGAGGAGGUUAUAGCUAAGCAUUAGGAAGAACUUUCGGACAGUAAGAGCUGUUUGACAGUGGAACGGGCUCCCUUGGAAGGCGGUGGACUCUCCUUCCUUGGAGGUUUUUAAACAGAGUUUGGAUGGCCAUCUGUCAGGGAUUCUUUAGCUGUGAUACCUGCAUUGCAGGGGAUGAACUGAAUGACCGUUGGGGUCACUUCCAUCUCGACAAUUAUGUGAUUCUAUGAUCCAAGGCAGGUUCUGGUGUCGUCUGUAGUGCUGAUGACACAGUGAAAUCAUCCAGCACAGCACAGCUCACCUGCUUCACUUUCCUACUCUGAUGGAGCCGAAUAAGAAACAUCCCACACACAGUCAUCAGAAAGGUCAUGAGUAUAAUGUUCUGUUCUUUCAAUAAGUUUACAGAGAGAUGUUAAUCUGUAUUCUCCCUUCCACAAUAUCCCAGGUUUUUGGCUUUUUGAAAAAUAUGCUUUAUUUAUGCAUUUUCAGAAGUAAAUACAGUUAAAAUGUCUAACUCGAAAGCACCCCCCAUUUCCCCUCCCCCUCCUUCCCAGUCAUCCCAUAUAAUUCAUAUAAUUCGCAUAGAAUUAAGGUGUUUAACAAAUCAUGUGUAAAUAUUGAGAUCAAGUGUAAAUAUUGGGUAAUGUUCAUUCUCCAAGCAGAUUGCUCCAGAGAGUCAAUGGCAGUGUCUUCGUCCUGUUGUUUCUGACAUGGGGGGAAUGUACCAUAUGUCAUCAAAAUCUUAGAUAGCUUUUCUAUGAGUGCAACUCUUCCCAUAGCAUGCAUCCCGUAUAAAAUUAGCAGCUGAUUUCCAAUUUUGAGCUAAAACCUGUCCAGCAGCCACCAUAAAAAGGAUUAAUAGUUCUUUUAUAAAAAAAAAAGUCCUUUAAACCUUCAGCAAACAAGUUUGAUAAUGGUAGUCUGGGAUCACAGGGAACUGUUCCACUUAACUUACUUCAUCUAUUCUUAGGCUAUGAAAACCUUGAAUCUUCUUGCAGCUCCACCACAUGUGGCAAUAAGGUCCCAAAUCUUAGCAACCUCUCCAACCUAGUGGGUUUGCUUGUGAGCUUGUUUUAUAGCAUCUGAGAGGUGUGAAAUGCCACCUAUGUAGCAUUUCUUUCUGUCCUGAUAUAGAUAUAUAUAUAAAGCUGAUAUAGACUUAAAUGGUUUCCCCAAAAAUUUAUGUCACUCACUUGGCUCACUAUUACAGAUCAAAUCUGAUUCCUGCAGAGAUUUUAAGGAACCUAGAUUACCAUGUGACAGUAAUUUUUAGAUGUGUAGUAUUUAGGAGAAGCUGUUCUAUGGGUUUGAGUGGUCUGAUGGCUUGAGACAUCCCUAUAGGGUUGGAAGUAAAGUGUUUUACUUGAAUAGCCAGCCAGUCUGUAUCCUAGUUUUUCUGUUAGCUGAGUGCCUAUCAAUAGGGUGUUUAUACAGGUCCCUAAUGGUAUUAAAAAAUGUUUCCAGUCAUUAAAUUGUUGUUCCCUAGUUUUGCUAUAAAACAGGGGAUGGUGAUAGCUAUAAGAGGAAAGAUGGCGGGAGCUAAUCUUUUAAUAUAAUCAUAGAACUGUAGAGUUGGAAGAGAUCCAAAGGGUCAUCUACUCCAACUCCCUGCAAUGCAAGAAUCUUAGCUAAAGAAUCCCUGACAGAUGGCCAUCCAACCUCCAUUUAAAAACCUCCAAGUCCAUCACAUUUUGAGGGGGUUUGUUCCAUUGCUGAAUAGCUCUUACUCUUAGAAAAUCUUCCUAAUGUUGCGUUGGAAUAGUUGGUCCAUGUGGUUUGCAAAUGCAGUUGGUUUUAAUGCAUCAGGAAUGGAACAGCUGCUGCCUGUUUGCAUUUGAAAGAAUCUCAUUCCAGUGAAAUUCAUGCACAUUGCUGUGUUUCAUCAUUUAACAUGUGCUACGUAUAUGGGAUGUAUUAUGAUCCCUUGUCAGAAUAUCCUAGGUUUCUUAACUCAAACAAAAAAGCUGCAUUCAAAUUGUUGUCCAUUCGCACCCCAAUGUUGCUCUGUUUACACUUCAGAUUCCAUUUGUUUUUCCCCAACUAUUUCAUUCAUGAGAGAUUCUGAAGAUAUGCCUGGUUUAGAUUUUAAAACUCCAACAACAUUCACUUCCGGAACGCAGGCUCCCCCUUCUUCCCUGAACUGAAGGUGACAUCAUCGGUGACUAUGACAGAACAAUAGGCCUAGGCCAGCCUUGGUCUGGAUCUGAGGCGUGGAAGGCUCAGAAACCUGUCUUGCUCUCUGUGCUGAGUCCAUAGAAAGCUGUGGCUUUCUAUGUUCCCUCCUAGAAACCUAAUGGGGGAGGAAGAUAUGCUCCAUAUGAAUAGAUGUGUAAAUAAAAACAAUAUUGUGGGACUAAGUCAAAGAAGCUCGGUGAUAAGAGCAUCACACUUUGCAUGCAGAAGGUCCCAGUUUCAGCUGCCAAGAAAAGCUUGGGAAGUCCCCCAACUAAGAUUUUAAUAUUAGUUUUCUGAUAUAUCCCCUCCCCACUGAUCUUCCAGGAUGAGAAGAGGUCUGAAGAGGGUGGAGCAGAGACAGCCAUGUCAGCAGAGUUUCAGAUUGCAUGGGAAGGACCCACAGGAGGAGGAGAUUUAGGCAGCUGUGGGAAGGCGGGGAUCUUCAGCCUCCACAAUGGCCUCAUAGGUGCAAGACCUACUGAGAAGACUUGUUGUGCUCAUUAGGCCUGACUCUCCUGAGCUGACCUGGUUUCUGCUAAUAAAGAGUUAACAUCACA